AACGAACGCUGGCGGCAUGCUUAACACAUGCAAGUCGAACGUGAAAGUGGGCUUCGGCCCGCGAGUAAAGUGGCGCACGGGUGAGUAACACGUGGAUAAUCUACCCGAUGAUCUGGAAUAACACUUCGAAAGGGGUGCUAAUACCGGAUAAGCUCACGACGUCUUCGGACGAUGUGGGAAAAGGGGGCUUCGGCUCCUGUCAUCGGAUGAGUCCGCGGCCCAUUAGCUAGUUGGUAGGGUAAUGGCCUACCAAGGCGACGAUGGGUAGCUGGUCUGGGAGGAUGAUCAGCCACACUGAAACUGAGACACGGUCCAGAGUCCUACGGGAGGCAGCAGUGGGGAAUUUUGCGCAAGGGGCGAAAGCCUGACGCAGCAAUGCCGCGUGAGUGAUGAAGGCCUUCGGGUCGUAAAGCUCUGUCAGAGGGGAAGAAACUCCUGCCGGUUAAUACCCGGCGGGCCUGACGGUACCCUCAAAGGAAGCACCGGCUAACUUCGUGCCAGCAGCCGCCGUAA
This 513-nucleotide ribosomal RNA is filed under the name uncultured bacterium. Its description in RNAcentral is "partial 16S ribosomal RNA". It matches the Rfam family "Bacterial small subunit ribosomal RNA", at positions 29 to 523 of the family's 1533-position model. The record is from RNAcentral.